This 73-nucleotide transfer RNA is filed under the name Streptantibioticus rubrisoli. RNAcentral's name for it is "tRNA-Arg". It matches the Rfam family "tRNA". From Rfam's summary of the family: Transfer RNA (tRNA) molecules are approximately 80 nucleotides in length. Lineage: Bacteria; Bacillati; Actinomycetota; Actinomycetes; Kitasatosporales; Streptomycetaceae. The record is from RNAcentral. RNAcentral also lists the same sequence under 2 other names.
GCCUCCAUAGCUCAGGGGAUAGAGCACCGCUCUCCUAAAGCGGGUGUCGCAGGUUCGAAUCCUGCUGGGGGCA